ACAUGCUUACAUCAUAGAGCUAAUUCAUUGGAUCCCAUUAUAAAUAUGCAGUUAAACGCACUCAUGAUAGAAUAAUACUGGGAUGGGCGACUACCUAGGAAGUCCUAGUGUUUUACAUUGC
Molecule: non-coding RNA, 121 nt
Organism: Picea glauca (white spruce)
Lineage: Eukaryota; Viridiplantae; Streptophyta; Pinopsida; Pinales; Pinaceae
Source: Rfam